CUAUAAUGCAGUCGAGCGAACGGACGAGAGUGCUUGCACUCUCUGAUGUUAGCGGCGGACGGGUGAGUAACACGUGGGUAACCUACCUAUAAGACUGGGAUAACUUCGGGAAACCGGAGCUAAUACCGGAUAAUAUUUAGCUUCGCAUGAAGCAAUAGUGAAAGACGGUUCUGCUGUCACUUAUAGAUGGACCCGCGGUGUAUUAGCUAGUUGGUGAGGUAACGGCUCACCAAGGCAACGAUACAUAGCCGACCUGAGAGGGUGAUCGGCCACACUGGGACUGAGACACGGCCCAGACUCCUACGGGAGGCAGCAGUAGGGAAUCUUCCGCAAUGGACGAAAGUCUGACGGAGCAACGCCGCGUGAGUGAAGAAGGUUUUCGGAUCGUAAAACUCUGUUGUAAGGGAAGAACAAGUACGUUAGUAACUGAACGUACCUUGACGGUACCUUACCAGAAAGCCACGGCUAACUACGUGCCAGCAGCCGCGGUAAUACGUAGGUGGCAAGCGUUAUCCGGAAUUAUUGGGCGUAAAGCGCGCGUAGGCGGUCUCUUAAGUCUGAUGUGAAAGCCCCCGGCUCAACCGGGGAGGGUCAUUGGAAACUGGGAGACUUGAGUGCAGAAGAGGAGAGUGGAAUUCCAUGUGUAGCGGUGAAAUGCGCAGAGAUAUGGAGGAACACCAGUGGCGAAGGCGGCUCUCUGGUCUGUAACUGACGCUGAGGUGCGAAAGCGUGGGGAUCAAACAGGAUUAGAUACCCUGGUAGUCCACGCCGUAAACGAUGAGUGCUAAGUGUUGGGGGGUUUCCGCCCCUCAGUGCUGCAGCUAACGCAUUAAGCACUCCGCCUGGGGAGUACGGUCGCAAGACU
RNAcentral lists this ribosomal RNA (865 nucleotides) under Macrococcoides caseolyticum. Its description in RNAcentral is "bacterial SSU rRNA". It matches the Rfam family "Bacterial small subunit ribosomal RNA", at positions 51 to 895 of the family's 1533-position model. Lineage: Bacteria; Bacillati; Bacillota; Bacilli; Caryophanales; Staphylococcaceae. The record is from RNAcentral.